RNAcentral lists this ribosomal RNA (2902 nucleotides) under Escherichia coli. RNAcentral's name for it is "bacterial LSU rRNA". It matches the Rfam family "Bacterial large subunit ribosomal RNA". The record is from RNAcentral. Lineage: Bacteria; Pseudomonadati; Pseudomonadota; Gammaproteobacteria; Enterobacterales; Enterobacteriaceae.
UUAAGCGACUAAGCGUACACGGUGGAUGCCCUGGCAGUCAGAGGCGAUGAAGGACGUGCUAAUCUGCGAUAAGCGUCGGUAAGGUGAUAUGAACCGUUAUAACCGGCGAUUUCCGAAUGGGGAAACCCAGUGUGUUUCGACACACUAUCAUUAACUGAAUCCAUAGGUUAAUGAGGCGAACCGGGGGAACUGAAACAUCUAAGUACCCCGAGGAAAAGAAAUCAACCGAGAUUCCCCCAGUAGCGGCGAGCGAACGGGGAGCAGCCCAGAGUCUGAAUCAGUGUGUGUGUUAGUGGAAGCGUCUGGAAAGGCGCGCGAUACAGGGUGACAGCCCCGUACACAAAAAUGCACAUGCUGUGAGCUCGAUGAGUAGGGCGGGACACGUGGUAUCCUGUCUGAAUAUGGGGGGACCAUCCUCCAAGGCUAAAUACUCCUGACUGACCGAUAGUGAACCAGUACCGUGAGGGAAAGGCGAAAAGAACCCCGGCGAGGGGAGUGAAAAAGAACCUGAAACCGUGUACGUACAAGCAGUGGGAGCACGCUUAGGCGUGUGACUGCGUACCUUUUGUAUAAUGGGUCAGCGACUUAUAUUCUGUAGCAAGGUUAACCGAAUAGGGGAGCCGAAGGGAAACCGAGUCUUAACUGGGCGUUAAGUUGCAGGGUAUAGACCCGAAACCCGGUGAUCUAGCCAUGGGCAGGUUGAAGGUUGGGUAACACUAACUGGAGGACCGAACCGACUAAUGUUGAAAAAUUAGCGGAUGACUUGUGGCUGGGGGUGAAAGGCCAAUCAAACCGGGAGAUAGCUGGUUCUCCCCGAAAGCUAUUUAGGUAGCGCCUCGUGAAUUCAUCUCCGGGGGUAGAGCACUGUUUCGGCAAGGGGGUCAUCCCGACUUACCAACCCGAUGCAAACUGCGAAUACCGGAGAAUGUUAUCACGGGAGACACACGGCGGGUGCUAACGUCCGUCGUGAAGAGGGAAACAACCCAGACCGCCAGCUAAGGUCCCAAAGUCAUGGUUAAGUGGGAAACGAUGUGGGAAGGCCCAGACAGCCAGGAUGUUGGCUUAGAAGCAGCCAUCAUUUAAAGAAAGCGUAAUAGCUCACUGGUCGAGUCGGCCUGCGCGGAAGAUGUAACGGGGCUAAACCAUGCACCGAAGCUGCGGCAGCGACGCUUAUGCGUUGUUGGGUAGGGGAGCGUUCUGUAAGCCUGUGAAGGUGUGCUGUGAGGCAUGCUGGAGGUAUCAGAAGUGCGAAUGCUGACAUAAGUAACGAUAAAGCGGGUGAAAAGCCCGCUCGCCGGAAGACCAAGGGUUCCUGUCCAACGUUAAUCGGGGCAGGGUGAGUCGACCCCUAAGGCGAGGCCGAAAGGCGUAGUCGAUGGGAAACAGGUUAAUAUUCCUGUACUUGGUGUUACUGCGAAGGGGGGACGGAGAAGGCUAUGUUGGCCGGGCGACGGUUGUCCCGGUUUAAGCGUGUAGGCUGGUUUUCCAGGCAAAUCCGGAAAAUCAAGGCUGAGGCGUGAUGACGAGGCACUACGGUGCUGAAGCAACAAAUGCCCUGCUUCCAGGAAAAGCCUCUAAGCAUCAGGUAACAUCAAAUCGUACCCCAAACCGACACAGGUGGUCAGGUAGAGAAUACCAAGGCGCUUGAGAGAACUCGGGUGAAGGAACUAGGCAAAAUGGUGCCGUAACUUCGGGAGAAGGCACGCUGAUAUGUAGGUGAAGUCCCUCGCGGAUGGAGCUGAAAUCAGUCGAAGAUACCAGCUGGCUGCAACUGUUUAUUAAAAACACAGCACUGUGCAAACACGAAAGUGGACGUAUACGGUGUGACGCCUGCCCGGUGCCGGAAGGUUAAUUGAUGGGGUCAGCGCAAGCGAAGCUCUUGAUCGAAGCCCCGGUAAACGGCGGCCGUAACUAUAACGGUCCUAAGGUAGCGAAAUUCCUUGUCGGGUAAGUUCCGACCUGCACGAAUGGCGUAAUGAUGGCCAGGCUGUCUCCACCCGAGACUCAGUGAAAUUGAACUCGCUGUGAAGAUGCAGUGUACCCGCGGCAAGACGGAAAGACCCCGUGAACCUUUACUAUAGCUUGACACUGAACAUUGAGCCUUGAUGUGUAGGAUAGGUGGGAGGCUUAGAAGUGUGGACGCCAGUCUGCAUGGAGCCGACCUUGAAAUACCACCCUUUAAUGUUUGAUGUUCUAACGUGGACCCGUAAUCCGGGUUGCGGACAGUGUCUGGUGGGUAGUUUGACUGGGGCGGUCUCCUCCUAAAGAGUAACGGAGGAGCACGAAGGUUGGCUAAUCCUGGUCGGACAUCAGGAGGUUAGUGCAAUGGCAUAAGCCAGCUUGACUGCGAGCGUGACGGCGCGAGCAGGUGCGAAAGCAGGUCAUAGUGAUCCGGUGGUUCUGAAUGGAAGGGCCAUCGCUCAACGGAUAAAAGGUACUCCGGGGAUAACAGGCUGAUACCGCCCAAGAGUUCAUAUCGACGGCGGUGUUUGGCACCUCGAUGUCGGCUCAUCACAUCCUGGGGCUGAAGUAGGUCCCAAGGGUAUGGCUGUUCGCCAUUUAAAGUGGUACGCGAGCUGGGUUUAGAACGUCGUGAGACAGUUCGGUCCCUAUCUGCCGUGGGCGCUGGAGAACUGAGGGGGGCUGCUCCUAGUACGAGAGGACCGGAGUGGACGCAUCACUGGUGUUCGGGUUGUCAUGCCAAUGGCACUGCCCGGUAGCUAAAUGCGGAAGAGAUAAGUGCUGAAAGCAUCUAAGCACGAAACUUGCCCCGAGAUGAGUUCUCCCUGACUCCUUGAGAGUCCUGAAGGAACGUUGAAGACGACGACGUUGAUAGGCCGGGUGUGUAAGCGCAGCGAUGCGUUGAGCUAACCGGUACUAAUGAACCGUGAGGCUUAACCUU